RNAcentral lists this ribosomal RNA (492 nucleotides) under uncultured bacterium. RNAcentral's name for it is "partial 16S ribosomal RNA". It matches the Rfam family "Bacterial small subunit ribosomal RNA", at positions 29 to 507 of the family's 1533-position model. The record is from RNAcentral.
AGUGAACGCUGGCGGUAGGCCUAACACAUGCAAGUCGAACGGCAGCACAGUAAGAGCUUGCUCUUACGGGUGGCGAGUGGCGGACGGGUGAGGAAUACAUCGGAAUCUACUUUUUCGUGGGGGAUAACGUAGGGAAACUUACGCUAAUACCGCAUACGACCUACGGGUGAAAGCAGGGGAUCUUCGGACCUUGCGCGAUUGAAUGAGCCAAUGUCGGAUUAGCUAGUUGGCGGGGUAAAGGCCCACCAAGGCGACGAUCCGUAGCUGGUCUGAGAGGAUGAUCAGCCACACUGGAACUGAGACACGGUCCAGACUCCUACGGGAGGCAGCAGUGGGGAAUAUUGGACAAUAGGCGCAAGCCUGAUCCAGCCAUACCGCGUGGGUGAAGAAGGCCUUCGGGUUGUAAAGCCCUUUUGUUGGGAAAGAAAAGCAGCAGGUUAAUACCCCGCUGUUCUGACGGUACCCAAAGAAUAAGCACCGGCUAACUUCGUG